AAUAUGGAUGGUACCAUAAUUUUUUUUGAACCACAUCUAAAUUUCUCAUUUGCUUCUCUGUUUACAUGACCCACAAUGCACUUGAUUUCCAAACUAAUAGAUUUGGAAACAAUAGUAGUUUUGGUUUGUUUUUAUUCAACAACAGUUGCAUAUUCUUGCUAUAAUCUGUGAUAUGGUCUGUUCUGGUUAUCAUGCUUCUUAAUUUCCAAUAUAUUGAUCCAAUAAUUACAGCAUGGCCUGAUAGACAUUCAAAUCAAUUUGUUCGGGCUGAGAACCAUUCUAUAUAAUACUCACCAUUGUUUCGUUUCUUUUGUUCUAAGACAAAGGGUAUAGGAAUGUUUGUAUUCAGAUAGAAGGUUGAAUUAGAUGCAUUCUUCGAGAAAAAUUUACAUCCUUCUACUAAUUCCUCUCUUUGUUUUGUUUGUUUGGCUAUUUCAGAACGACAACGAGAUACACCUCCUUGAUGAAAAUAUAUGGGCAGUUGUGUAGUCAUCACUGAGGAAGAUAUCGUAUGUAGCUUACUAUAUUUUUGGACUGCCAAAACAUUAGAAGGAAAGUGCGCCUUUGCUUUGGUCUUGCUGUUGUUAUGAGGUCCAUUUGUAAAGAGCACGGUCCCAUCCUUCCAUUAUCAUGGUCCCAUUCGGGGGCAACACCUAACCAGCGAUAAUGAGGUGUCGUUGGCCAUAGGUGCAGUUGUCCACAACUAGGGGUGGGAUUGUUAGUUUGUUACAACAUAUGGAUGAUAUGCACAUGGAAGGCUGAUAUAAACAAGCUAUAAUUGUUUGGGCUAUGAUUCGCAACAUAGAUUGGGGAUUUUAAAAUGUUAGACAAGAAAGUUAUCGGCCUGGUCGCCGCUUGAGUCGGAUGAGGUCAUGGUUACUUUACCUGGUGAGUUACUGCCCAGGAAGAGCACAAUCCACCACCGCUAUAUAGCAGAUGGCGCUAUCAAGGACGUCGUCAUAUUGACCGCCGAUGACCUACAUCCUUUCGCUUUCCCUCAUGUUUUGCAGAAUAGAAGUGGCCUCAAAGCCACUUGAAUGAAAUCUUGUGUCUUGCGAUGUGCCAAUGCCAUGAAUUGGAUGUUUGUAGUAUAUUUUUUGGACGCCGCUAACUGCCACACGUGUGGGCGUUAAGGAAUCUGCUCACACGUUC
This is a long non-coding RNA of Triticum dicoccoides, 1152 nucleotides long. RefSeq lists it as uncharacterized. The record is from RefSeq and is a predicted model, not a curated record. The transcript has 5 exons. NCBI's taxonomy places the organism in Eukaryota, Viridiplantae, Streptophyta, Magnoliopsida, Poales, Poaceae.